CGCAGGUCCAAGGGGAGACCAAGGGUCCGGACUCGGAGUUGCUGCUGCGAGUCUCACCUUCGACCCGGAGGAGCCCGGCCGGCGGCAAAGGGUGAGGACCUGGGGGGGUCUCCUCAGACGCUGGAAUCUGAGGCCCAGGCUCCUCUUCUGGGGCGGAAGGACGAGAUUUCCUGGAGUCGAGGUUCCGGUCUUACCCUAACAGCGGCUUUCGUGUCCAGUGGAGAUUCAGGGGCGAGAAAUUCUGAACAAAAUCAGAAUAAACUGGAAUAAGACCAAUUAAAAUUCUUAAUAAAAUAGUACCGGAAUACAACACUGCUUGGAAUUCAGGUCUUGAACCGUUAACACGAAAGCUCAGAGGCAGUCACCCUGGCUGCUCAGGGACAUCAGAGCCCUUCAAGACUCGGGUGCUGCCACGUCCGUGUGGCCCUCGCGGUUCCGGGGCAGCGCGUGGGUCCGACGCAGAACAGGAGUGAGUAAAAACUGCUGAGCGCCGCCCCAAAGACGAGGUUCCACCGAGACUCGAACUCGGAUUCACGCUGGAUUCAGAGUCCAGAGUGCUCGCCAUCACACCAUGGAACCACCGGGGACCCUUCAGCUGGGAUCACUGAAUUCAGAGGCCAGAGUGCUCACCAUAACGCAGACCCUCCCGCAGCCCGUCCCUGCCAGCAGUUGAGCCAGGCGCGCGCAGCCCCGCCGGCCCAGGACCCGCUUCCCGCCGGGCGCGCUCCUCAGCCGCGCGCAGCCCGCGUCCUCCGCGACGCCAGGGGGCGCCGGCCUUGCCUGCCCUCGGCCUCCCUGCAGGUUAGUACGUCCAGGAGGACAUGAAAUCCACUGGGGUCAGCGACAGGGCAGGGCUUUCAGGCCUCCCCCAAGUCCACCUGCUCUGCCAGCAUUUGUGGAGUGUUCUACGCUGAGGAGUUCUGCUUCAGCGCAGGAAACUCUACAAAUGCUGGCAGAACAGAGGGUUUGGGGUGGGCCCUGCCCUGUCGCUGACCUCAACGGAUUUUAUCGUCCUCUGGUACAAACCUGCCCGGAGGCCGCGGGCAGGCGAGUCCGGAGCCUCCUGGCGUCGAGGCGGAAGCGGGCUGGGGGCUGCGGGGUGAGGAGCGCGCCCGGCGGGAGGCGGGGCCUGGGCCGGCGGGGCUGCGCGCGGCCUGGCUCAGCGGCUGCAAGGUAAAGGCCGGUGGGCGGUUCCAUGGUGUA
This 1203-nucleotide transfer RNA is filed under the name Sus scrofa (pig). RNAcentral describes it as "lncRNA (ENSSSCG00050047494.1)". The record is from RNAcentral. Lineage: Eukaryota; Metazoa; Chordata; Mammalia; Artiodactyla; Suidae.